GCAAUGUGGGGGCAGCACGUGGCCAGAGGUGGACCCCCAUCUUCUCCAUCACCCCCCAGGAAGGGACCAGGGGAAGGAGCAGGGACAGGGACUGGGGUCUUGGGUUUGGGCCCCCCCUCCCAGGAGGAGGAGGAGGAGGAGGAGGAGGAGAUGAUCAUCUCUGUGGAGAUGGGUCCCAGGUGGGUGCGAGGGGCUGGGUGUGGGGCUGGCAGGGACCACCCCACCUCCCAUUGGGGGAGACCCUCAACCGCCCACCUCAGCCCAGGUGUAAAAGCCAUCAGUGGGGGCUGUCCCUCCUCUUCCUCCUCCUCCUCCUCCAUCAUGAUGAAGGUUCUUGGGAGAAGGUGGUUUCUGCUCCUUCUUGUGACCACAGCCUGGGCGCAGGAUGCCCUGAUCUUGGUGACAUGUGGCCGUGGGUGGCUUUCGGUGGCGGUGCCGGCUGGCCUCCUGGGGAGCCGUGUGGCUGAUGGGGAGCUGAGGCUGGGGUCCACCUGCGGGGUCACCAGCGCUGAUGGGGACAGGUACCGGCUGGAGCACCCCCUCCUGAGCUGCGGGACCACCCUGGAGUUUCUCCAGGACAGCAUCCACUACAGCAACGUCCUCCACUACCACCCCUUGGCUGGGGGGGCUGUGGCUCGUGCCACCCCCUUCUCCAUCCCUGUGGACUGUUAUUACCCCAGGUAAGUGGGGACACCCCCCCUGAACCCCAGAGCCGGGUGAACCCCCUGUGUCCAGGACCACGAUGGGACCCCUCAGCGCAGGAGGGAUGCCCACCCAUGGGGGGACACGGCAGGCGGGGGUCCCCCAGAGCUUGUCACCCCACUUGAGGACACUCCAUGGUCUAGGACGGGCAGUGUUUCCUCAGGGGGGGCCAUCCAGCCCACCUGGGUCCCCUUCAGCUCCACCUUCACCCACCGGAGACGCCUGCGCUUCACCCUGGAUGCGUAUGACAGUGAGUUGGGGGCGUCCCCAGACCCCUUCAAUCCCCCGUGUGAUGGGGGCCAUGACCCCGGGGUGACACUGGGGACAACCACCCCCCGUGUCCCCUCCAGGUUCCUGGUCCUCCCGCCUGCCCCAGCCCACUUAUUCCCUGGGGGAGCUCAUCAACCUCCAGGCGUCGGUGGAUGCGGACCCCCACCUGCCCCUCAGGGUCUUCGUGGACCGGUGCGUGGCCAGUCCCAGCGUGGUGGCCCCAUGGAGGCUGAGAUAUGAGGCCAUCGUUGAUGAUGGGUGAGUGGCCAGGGCUGGGGAGCAGCAGGGUGGUGGUCUCUGUCCCCAAAUAGCCACUCUCCCCCCUUGCUGGGACCAUGAGGAGGGUGACAAUGACCUUCUCACCCCCAUCCCACCCCCCUAGGUGCCUGCUGGAUGGGCAGCUUGCUCGGUCCCACUUCCUCCCCCAACGUGGAGAUGGUUCCUUUCGCUUCCAACUGGACACCAUCCUCUUCCCAAACACCUCCAGCAGCCAGGUCGGUGCCAGUGGGGCCUUGGGGGGGUUGCAGGGUGACCCCCAGCCACCUACCAAUGUGGGGAUGGAGUGGCUGGGGGUGGUGUGUGUGUGAUUGGGGGGGUUUCUCAGGUGGGGUGGCAGGAGGAUGGAUGCUUGUCCCCCCCAGAUCUACCUCCGCUGUCACCUGAAGGCUGUGGUGGAGGGGGCUGCUGGUGCCCCCGGCAAAGCCUGUUCCUA
RNAcentral lists this long non-coding RNA (1684 nucleotides) under Calidris pugnax (ruff). Its description in RNAcentral is "lncRNA (ENSCPUG00000005100.1)". Lineage: Eukaryota; Metazoa; Chordata; Aves; Charadriiformes; Scolopacidae. The record is from RNAcentral.